GCAGGCUUCCCGCAGCAGGCGGGCGCAAGUGCAGCUGCCUCGAGUCCUGCAGAACAGAUGCCAGUCGGGGGGCUGCCCUGGGCGUGGGGGGCAAGGGGCGCGGGACACGCGGCCUGAGGAGAGUGACUCUGGACCUCACCACCCCCGGGAGUGGGGAGGAAAGAGACAGCCGAGGAUGCACCCUGGAAGGACCUGGAGGGACAGGCAACCUGUGCACUCCCCCAACCCCACCCCAAAAAUCUACAACUGGCUCCAGGGAGGCUGCUGUGGGGACAUCGUCCUGACCUGGCGAGCUGCCAGGGCUGCAGAGGUGAGCAGCUGCCCACAGGGCACGGGGACACAUAGGGGGCUGGGCCCCUGGCCGGGUUCCCAGGGCACUGGCACCCUCCAGCCCCAAGACCUCACAGCACUAGGGCUGGGCAGAGACUCAGCUAGUGCCCUCCUGCUGCCACAGCCUCCCUUCCCGGGCAGCCCCUGCCCCUCCAAAGCGUCUCCAUUUCCUGGAGAGGCUGUUUUGGGGGGCUGGGGUGUAGACCAGGCAUAGGGCCUGCAGGGCUGAUCACUCCUGAGUGAGGAGGUGGAGCUUGAGCGCAGCAGGGAAGUAGCCUGAGGAGGAAGCACCCUGAGUUCCCAGGAUAGCCACCCGCCUCCGCAGCUGAGAGCCCAGAGUCACAGGGUUUGGACAACGGGGGGUGGGUGGGGGUGUUCCCUUCCUUUGGCCUGUACACCAGUCCCCAGGAGGAGCCCGCCUGGUGACACAGGCCAGCGCCCCAGCUGGCUGGGGACUCGAGUGGAGAUGGGACCUUCCUGGGAUGCUGGACAGUCCUCCAGGCUGCCCCACAGUGACCCCACGUGCUUCUCUCUGCACCCAGGAAGCACCCCACCCGCGAAGCUCCAAGAGGCCCAGAGGAAGAGCCCCAGAGAGCCCUGGCAGCUUCGCCUGAGCCCACUGCAGAGAGGAGGAAGCCGAGGUUGGGAUGAGCCUGCUGGAGGCAGGGCCUGGGCGGGCAGGGGUGCUUUGUCACAGGCCAAGAUGCCUUUAGGAGCUAAGCUGGGCCCCAUUGGGGCACCAUGCCCAGAAACUGCCUUCCAGCCUGGCUGGCGGGUGCUCCGGGACCCCUCCCCCCGGGGCCUCCCCCUCCCCCAGGAGCCCUUCCGCAGAGGAUGGAGAGACUCUCCCGUCCCUGAGCUUGGGCACCUGGGUGAUGUCUGGGCUCCGGAGUCUCCCAGAGUGAGCAGAAACACCCACGUUUGUCUCCGGGCAUCCUGGCCCAGGGGGACCAAGGGCACCGAGGCGGCGGAGAUCGUGUUGGUCAAGCAGCCGGAGCCCAGAGCCGGGGCCCUGUGCCAGGAACGGUGAGGCCGGGUGGGCCCAAGCCCAGAGGCAGGACCAGUGGUGGACCAGGCAGGACCGGCAGCACCUCCGCUGCUCCAGCCACCCUUCAAGGUCAGGAACCCCAUCCCAGCUCUGCCAGCCCCGCGCCGCCCCUGCUCCGCCCCUGCUCCGCUCCUGUCUCCACUGGCCUGAUUAUGAUGCACACAUUACAGUGCACCCCAUCCCCACAAACACGAGGUAUUGGCAGGGUCCAGUGUCUGCCUCUCACCCCCCACAGUGAAGGAACCAGCCCCAAGGGGGAGAGCCCGACAGACCCCCAACAGGAUGUGGGAUCAGAAAUUGAGGCUGCUGCCCCCUGUGCCCAGGGGACCUGUGGAGCCGUGAGCACCCAGAGGCGGAAGGAAACCAGCAGAUGCUGCUGCCAGUCAACCAGGGGGUCUCCAGAGUGGGGGCCACAGAAGGAGACCCUGAGUGCAUAUGGGGAACAAUGGGGGUUUGGGGGGUCCCCAAGCCUGCUCGGGCUGGUGGUCAGCCUUAUCCAGCCAGGGGCCCGGGGUGGGCAUCACUGAGCAUGGAGAUCGUGGACCAGCCACUCCUGAGCAAAUAUGAAUUUUAAAAUAAAAUUACCUAGUUGGGAAAACAAUGCAGAUUGGUUUUGAUCAAUUCAAGCAGAUACGAGUAAAACCCGACUAUGCCCAAGAGGUCAAGGGUGCCGGCCUUCGACAAUCUCGUCCAAAAAGCCUUCCUCUAAAAUUAUCUAUUAAAAAGCUUUGCAUUUUUGCGUUAAUUUUCUCUUAAGGAUUUCGAUUCAGCCUCAUCUCUGUGGACACGAACUCUGUAGAGAGUCACCGUUUUUACAGGUAAGUUAUAAGCACGUACUCAACUCACACUCGCUGGUUUGGGGGUGUCAGGAGAAGGACAAAGGCAGCCACUUACUCAGCGGGUUCCACAUGCUCAAAACCACAGUUCAUGGGUCUUGUUUUGUUGCUAUUAUUUAUGUGAAGUUCGGUGUGUGAGAAUGCAAUCCCUGUCUCUGGUAUGGUGAACACUGCAACUGUCUUAAGAUUCUGAAGCUUUGGGUUUCUCAGGACUGCCCCCAAAAUCUUCACUAACACCCUGGGCACUGCCUUUCCAGCACCAGCUGUCAAGAUUUGACUUUAUCCUCAGUACCUUCCAGGAAGAGGCCUUUUCAUGUCAGCCUCCCCCCAAAAGUGUCUGGGGUGCCUAGGGAACCCACUGAAAUUUCAAAAUUGAAAUAAUUCCCCCGAGCUUUGCAACAUUCAUUUUGGCACAAGCCCAGCGCCACGUUGAAUUAACAAAUACCCAGUAAAGAAAGCACUUUUACCACAU
This is an RNA transcript of Talpa occidentalis (Iberian mole), 2686 nucleotides long. It is a transcript of the gene named basic salivary proline-rich protein 3-like, with no coding region annotated. The record is from RefSeq and is a predicted model, not a curated record. NCBI's taxonomy places the organism in Eukaryota, Metazoa, Chordata, Mammalia, Eulipotyphla, Talpidae. The transcript has 4 exons.